GAUGAACGCUGGCGGCGUGCCUAAAACAUGCAAGUCGAGCGGUAAGGCUCUGCACUUAGUGUUUGAUCGAAGUAAUUUAUUACUACAGUAGACCAAUUGGAACCUUGGCGGGUGAAGAGCGGAAUAGGAAGAUCGAAUUAUAAGUGUAGAGUACACGAGCGGCGGACGGGUGAGUAACACGUGGGAAUCUACCCCAAACUGAGGGAUAAGCACCGGAAACGGUGUCUAAUACCGCAUAUGGUCUUCGGAUUAAAGCUUCGGCGGUUUGGGAAGAGCCCGCGUAAGAUUAGCUAGUUGGUGAGGUAAAGGCUCACCAAGGCGACGAUCUUUAGCUGGUUUGAGAGGAUGAUCAGCCACACUGGAACUGAGACACGGUCCAGACUCCUACGGGAGGCGAGCAGUUAGGAAUUUACCACAAUGGGCGCAAGCCUGAUGGAGCAACGCCGCGUGCAGGAUGAAGGUUUUCGGAUUGUAAACUGCUUUAUGUGUGAAGAAUA
RNAcentral lists this ribosomal RNA (497 nucleotides) under uncultured bacterium. RNAcentral describes it as "bacterial SSU rRNA". It matches the Rfam family "Bacterial small subunit ribosomal RNA", at positions 28 to 451 of the family's 1533-position model. The record is from RNAcentral.